CCUACGGGGGGCAGCAGUGGGGAAUAUUGGACAAUGGGGGCAACCCUGAUCCAGCCAUGCCGCGUGUGUGAAGAAGGCCCUCGGGUUGUAAAGCACUUUCAGUGAGGAAGAACGCCUGGUGGUUAAUACCCAUCAGGAAAGACAUCACUCACAGAAGAAGCACCGGCUAACUCCGUGCCAGCAGCCGCGGUAAUACGGAGGGUGCGAGCGUUAAUCGGAAUUACUGGGCGUAAAGCGCGCGUAGGUGGCUUGAUAAGCCGGUUGUGGAAGCCCCGGGCUCAACCUGGGAACGGCAUCCGGAACUGUCAAGCUAGAGUGCAGGAGAGGAAGGUAGAAUUCCCGGUGUAGCGGUGAAAUGCGUAGAGAUCGGGAGGAAUACCAGUGGCGAAGGCGGCCUUCUGGACUGACACUGACACUGAGGUGCGAAAGCGUGGGUAGCAAACAGGAUUAGAUACCCGGGUAGUC
RNAcentral lists this ribosomal RNA (465 nucleotides) under Vreelandella stevensii. RNAcentral's name for it is "partial 16S ribosomal RNA". It matches the Rfam family "Bacterial small subunit ribosomal RNA", at positions 338 to 795 of the family's 1533-position model. The record is from RNAcentral. Lineage: Bacteria; Pseudomonadati; Pseudomonadota; Gammaproteobacteria; Oceanospirillales; Halomonadaceae.